CCUACGGGUGGCAGCAGUGAGGAAUAUUGGUCAAUGGUCGGGAGACUGAACCAGCCAAGCCGCGUGAGGGAUGAAGGUACAGAGUAUCGUAAACCUCUUUUGUCAGGGAACAAAGGCGGGGACGUGUCCCCGGAUGAGUGUACCUGAAGAAAAAGCAUCGGCUAACUCCGUGCCAGCAGCCGCGGUAAUACGGAGGAUGCGAGCGUUAUCCGGAUUUAUUGGGUUUAAAGGGGGCGCAGGCGGUUUGUUAAGUCAGCGGUCAAAGACGGGGGCUCAACCCCAGCUCGCCGUUGAAACUGGCAGUCUUGAGUGGGAGAGAGGUAUGCGGAAUGCGCGGUGUAGCGGUGAAAUGCAUAGAUAUCGCGAAGAACUCCGAUUGCGAAGGCAGCAUGCCGGCUCCACACUGACGCUGAGGCACGAAAGCGUGGGUAUCGAACAGGAUUAGAUACCCCAGUAGUC
RNAcentral lists this ribosomal RNA (459 nucleotides) under uncultured bacterium. RNAcentral describes it as "partial 16S ribosomal RNA". It matches the Rfam family "Bacterial small subunit ribosomal RNA", at positions 338 to 795 of the family's 1533-position model. The record is from RNAcentral.